AAGCUGGGAUAAAAGCCAGUCUAUAUAAUAGCAAAAGCUGAUAUUUUUUGUUGAUGUUAUUUUUACAGAGUCAACUACAAUAAUUUUUCUACAGUAUGAAUGGCCUAAUGAGAACAUGAAGCUGAGCAGGCAGAACCUGGAAAAUAGGUGUUUUAUCCAGUUCAUCACUACAAGUAAUCCCUUUAACAAGAAACUCCUCCCUAGACCUUGAAGAUCAGAUGUGAUUCAGUAAGGUAGAGUGGCAGGGUGCAGAGAAUCAAGCAGUCCAUCCUGAGAUCAUGCAAAGCCUUUGGAAACACAAUUCCAGUGAGUCCUGGCUAUAACACUUUUGAUGCCCACGUCACCAGCAGCAGUCCUACAAGCACCAACGGU
Cyanistes caeruleus (blue tit) is the source of this 372-nucleotide long non-coding RNA. Lineage: Eukaryota; Metazoa; Chordata; Aves; Passeriformes; Paridae. The record is from Ensembl.